This 229-nucleotide long non-coding RNA is filed under the name Carica papaya (papaya). Its description in RNAcentral is "long non-coding RNA (CPAP_LNC004931)". Lineage: Eukaryota; Viridiplantae; Streptophyta; Magnoliopsida; Brassicales; Caricaceae. The record is from RNAcentral.
GAUGAGAUUAUUUAUAACCUUCCCCUUUUAAUCUGAGCCAUCCAUCACGAUUUAAUCUGGGCCGUCCGAUCGCAAUUAAAUUGAAAAUGAAUCUGGGCCGUCCGUGCGGGAUUCAAUCUGGGUCGUCCACACGCGUGAAAUCUGGGCCGUCCGCACGCACUUUUGAUUUGGGCCGUCCGUGCGCGCGAGAAUGAAUCUGGGUCGUCCGAUCGCAUGCACGCGGAUCGCC